GAUGAACGCUGGCGGCGUGCCUAAUACAUGCAAGUCGAGCGAACGGACGAGAAGCUUGCUUUUCUGAUGUUAGCGGCGGACGGGUGAGUAACACGUGUAUAACCUACCUAUAAGACUGGGAUAACUUCGGGAAACCGGAGCUAAUACCGGAUAAUAUUUUGAACCGCAUGGUUCAAAAGUGAAAGACGGUCUUGCUGUCACUUAUAGAUGGAUCCGCGCUGCAUUAGCUAGUUGGUAAGGUAACGGCUUACCAAGGCAACGAUGCAUAGCCGACCUGAGAGGGUGAUCAGCCACACUGGAACUGAGACACGGUCCAGACUCCUACGGGAGGCAGCAGUAGGGAAUCUUCCGCAAUGGGCGAAAGCCUGACGGAGCAACGCCGCGUGAGUGAUGAAGGUCUUCGGAUCGUAAAACUCUGUUAUUAGGGAAGAACAUAUGUGUAAGUAACUGUGCACAUCUUGACGGUACCUAAUCAGAAAGCCACGGCUAACUACGUG
RNAcentral lists this ribosomal RNA (497 nucleotides) under uncultured bacterium. Its description in RNAcentral is "partial 16S ribosomal RNA". It matches the Rfam family "Bacterial small subunit ribosomal RNA", at positions 28 to 507 of the family's 1533-position model. The record is from RNAcentral.